UGUCAAGCCAGCCAUGCUUCACUGAACUCCCUUCCACUUUGUUGCCAUGCUUCCUCUUUCUGGUUAAGUGAACCUCAAAACAAUGACAAAGAAAUAUGCCCCCGAGUCACAUAUUCUAAGAAAUAGACUGUACUCUCCUCAAAUCGAAAUAAGGGCACUUUAAUUCUUUGGAUUUUUCCACAUUUUCGUUGCUAAAGCUCCUAUUUGCUUUCUUUGAAUCUGUAUCAGUUCAUGCAAGUUCUACCAGGGGGGGAAGCGACACAAGACCCUGCCACUUUAGCACGUGAAAUAUUAAGAUGAACAGAGCCCGUAAAAGGAUUAUGUAUUAUGGCCUGUGAUGUUUAUCAACUACUUCCUACUUGAUGAAACCUGAGAGUCAAGCCUCAUCUCCUUCUUUAGAAACUGCUCAGGGUCCUACUCUGCUUGCUUAGUUGCUUGUGAUUCCAUACUCAAGUGCGGAGAAAGGAAGCUCUACCUCCUGGAAGGGUAUAUCUCCAUUUUUUUUUUUUUUUUUGUAUUUGUGAUUAUUCUGUAAGGAAAAUGUGCCUUUUAUUUCCAUUUAUUUAUUUAUCCUGAUGCUGGGAAAGAUUGAAGGCCAAAGGAGAAGGGAGCGGCAGGGGAUGGGACGCUUAGGUAGCGUUACU
RNAcentral lists this long non-coding RNA (644 nucleotides) under Bos indicus x Bos taurus (hybrid cattle). Its description in RNAcentral is "lncRNA (ENSBIXG00000004070.1)". The record is from RNAcentral. Lineage: Eukaryota; Metazoa; Chordata; Mammalia; Artiodactyla; Bovidae.